Long non-coding RNA from Mercenaria mercenaria, 3122 nucleotides. RefSeq lists it as uncharacterized. The transcript has 3 exons. NCBI's taxonomy places the organism in Eukaryota, Metazoa, Mollusca, Bivalvia, Venerida, Veneridae. The record is from RefSeq and is a predicted model, not a curated record.
UGAAGACACAAAGCUAUUCACUACAUAGUGAUCAGUGCGAAACGUUGCGGUUUUACACUAGCAGACGUGGACGCUUGAUUGCUAUUUUGCAGAUUAACUUUAUGUAAAUUAAAGCAUUUUUCAAGGAAUAAUAAAUGCAUUCACAUUGAUAGGACGGUAAACGGAAAGGAAUUAAAGUGUCCCUGCCUUAAUCAAAGGUACUUGGAAGUGUAUACGGUCAAAUAUGCGCCAGUUGAAAGGGAAACCGCAGAAAGAAACAAGAAAAGACAAGAGAGAAAGAAGAAAAGAUAACAUAGAAAACAAAAACAAUGUAACAAGAGUUGUCUUGCCUGUGUGUGGCGUACUGAUUGCCGUGCUCGUUGCCUUUGUUUUAUACAGCACGAAUUUCAAACUAUGACCUGGCGUUUACUAAAAGAUGACAGCGUGUCGUAGUGACAGUGACUUUGCGAUUUGUCAGUGAAAUUUUCUUUAAAGUAUAACCUGUAUCUGUUUAUUUACAAAACGUUUUAUCUAAAUUCAUGGACCUCUUUUCAAAAGUUUAUAAGCUUCAUUCUAAGGUAUCGACUUUGAAAACCAAAUUAUUUCGUAGGAUUUAACUUGUACUAUCAUUUUAAAAAGUUGUCAUUAAUUCAAUUUUAUGACAAUUUUUCUUCGGCGCAUGCUCUAAGAAUAGCCAACUUUUUGAAAUGAUGUUCGUGAAACACAUUACUAUAUUUUAACUUUGUUUUGAGUAUUGUAGACUUCAUAAAAUGGGCCUCUGUUCUCAGCGCCUCGGACAUAAAUAUUUAAGAAGUUGAAUUUCAAUUUUAUCUCGGCAUGUGACUGUCUGUUUGAAUAUGAAUUUGAAUAUUAUUGUUUUGGUUCUGUUUUUAAGAAACAAGCUAAUUUAAUUAUAAGUGAUGAUAACUCAGGUUCUGCUAUUUUAAGCAUCUUAUAACUAUAUCACAGUGUGCGUAUAUGCAUGCUAACAAUGUUUUUUUUAUCUUCAUAUGAAAAACAGCUGGUUAUUUUAUUUAUAUGUAUAUCUGUAAAUUUCUUAUGAACUUUUUUAUUACCUUAUUUGGCCUACAUUGUUAGCUCUAUAAAUAGAACAUAGUGUAGUUAGUUAAAAUUACAACUGAGGCGUCAGUUCUCCGAUGAUUUUCCUCUGAUGAUUCGACAAGGGCAAUGCGUCGAAGGACAUUCACGACGGACAGGUUAAUGUUGUUAAGAAUCCAGUAAGAGUAUUUCAUUAUAUUUCUGCCGCCAAGUUCAAUGGAAUCAGCGAAACCUCAGAGGAAGUUAUAGACUUUUUACGCAUUAUCUAGUCAAAUGAUUUAAGUUUGUAUGACGAGGAGCAAGACCGGCAAUUAAUGUUAAAGAUACAUUGUGCCUUAAUAAUACCUAUGCUGUAUUGAUGUAAACAUACAUAAAGCACAUUUGUGUAUAUACACUCAACAAAAUUCCUAAUCGGUCAGUUUUUAUUGUAUUACUGUUUUGUAAACAAUGCAAGUAUUUACACGAAUUUCACAUACCGACAUUUGAAUAGGUACUGCACCUAAUUAUAGAUUUAUUUUUGACCGACUCACCGCCAAAGUAACCGCUUUAGGCGUUUUGGCCAAUUUAGCAUAUUUUGCACGUGCAUGGCAUGUGCACGAAUAUGCACGUGUUAAUAAACUCUUUUGGCAUUACUGACGAAAGUCCUAUUAGAAAAACACAUAUGAUCGUGAAAUUGACACAAGAGCAACGCGCCCGGGCUGUCGAAAUUAUACAACAAAAUUCAAAAUCGGUCACUUAAAUGAAUUGUACUUUGGUUAAAUUUCGACAAAAGAGCGCGGAUGGUAGAUAACCAACGAGUGAAUGUUCUUGUAAACGGAAAUAAGGUUACAAAUGGAAAUAACCACCAAAGUAACAGUUACAAACAAAUUACAUCAAAAUUCUAUUGAAAUUGUAAAAAUAAUUACACACGUGUCGUAGAUGUGUCCCAGCUAGCAGCAUUCCGACAGCUCGAUCUAAUUGCUCUUGUGUCAAUUUCACCAUAAUAUGUGUUUUCUAGUUGGACUUUCGUAAGUAAUGCCAAAAUUGUGAACGAACACGUGUAUGUUGGUGCACAUGAAAUGCACGUGCAAAAUAUCCAAUAUUAGGCAAAACGCCUAAUGCGGUUACUUUGGCCGUGAGUCGCCAAAAAUAAAUUAAUAAUUAGCUGAAGUACUUAUUCAAAUGUCGGCAUGUGAAAUUUCGUGUAAAUACAUGCAUUACUGACAAUAUAGUAAUACAAAUAUAAACUGACCGAUUAGGAAUUUUGUUGAGUGUAAACAGUUCUUUGUGGUCAGUUAAAUUCUGCUCACGUAAUAUAUGUAUAUGUAUAUGCCGUUAAAAUAGAUUACAUUUAACAUUGGCUGCUACUGAUUGUGAUGGCAUCUCUACGCACACGAUUAACUUACAUAUCUAUUCAAAUUAAAUAUAUUUUUAAGAUUUUCUGCAUUUGUAAAUAAUAAAAUGUUUUAGUGAAAAAAAGAGAACGAUACUUCUUUAAUUGUAUCAAUCGUUUAAUUAAUGUCCCCGUCCGACCUGCCAUGUGUAUUGGAUAGACCAUACUCGAGAAGAUAGUUUUAACAAUAUUUAAAGCAACAACGGACACUUGUAUUAUUUCCGUUUUGUGUGUUGUGUAUGAUUUUAUAAUGCAUAUACUCAAACCGUCAUUUACCUUACAUUUAAUAUCAAAAAGCUCAUUAUCUCGUGCACAUUUUAUCAUUAUAUAUGUUUUACUGUUAUAAUUUUAUUGUCAGCACCAACUAGAGUAUUGAGAAUACGUAAAAGAUUUUUCAGCAUUCAUGACAUAUUUUACUCAGAGUUUUAGAUAUUAUAUUCCGCGUAAAAUUUCUUCUUCAUAAAUGAUCAGAUUUUAAUUUAUAUGGAUUUUGUCUGAAAUAAUUUCAAUGUACUUUCUGAUGGCGUUAUGAACUUCAAUGAAUUUAGUUGAAACAAAACAUUAAUAAACAAAGUAUUAAAAGCAUUCAUUCACCCGGAAGUUAAUUGAUUAUGUAUAGCUGUCAUGUUAGAAAUUCAUAAGUAUUUGUACUUACAAAGGCAUUAAACUGUUUCAUGUAUUAUUACGUUGAAUAAAAUUGAUCAAGUUUGAA